GCAAUGGUGUCUUUAGACACCACCUUUUUCAUCUUUGAAACUUAU
Non-coding RNA from Picea glauca (white spruce), 45 nucleotides. NCBI's taxonomy places the organism in Eukaryota, Viridiplantae, Streptophyta, Pinopsida, Pinales, Pinaceae. The record is from Rfam.